This is a transfer RNA of Tuber melanosporum (Perigord truffle), 73 nucleotides long. It matches the Rfam family "tRNA". Rfam says of the family: Transfer RNA (tRNA) molecules are approximately 80 nucleotides in length. Their secondary structure includes four short double-helical elements and three loops (D, anti-codon, and T loops). Further hydrogen bonds mediate the characteristic L-shaped molecular structure. tRNAs have two regions of fundamental functional importance: the anti-codon, which is responsible for specific mRNA codon recognition, and the 3' end, to which the tRNAs corresponding amino acid is attached (by aminoacyl-tRNA synthetases). tRNAs cope with the degeneracy of the genetic code in two manners: having more than one tRNA (with a specific anti-codon) for a particular amino acid; and 'wobble' base-pairing, i.e. permitting non-standard base-pairing at the 3rd anti-codon position. The record is from Rfam. NCBI's taxonomy places the organism in Eukaryota, Fungi, Ascomycota, Pezizomycetes, Pezizales, Tuberaceae.
GGUCGCGUGGCCUAAUGGUCAAGGCGCUGGUUUUCGGCACCAGAGAUUGGAAGUUCGAGUCCUCCCGCGAUCG